GGAUGUCCCCAAGGAGCCACCGUGGUGACAACAAAAUGUCCCCAAGGGCCACCAUGAUGAUGAGAUGUCCCCAAGGGCCACCACGGUGACACGGAGAUGUCCCCAAGGGCCACCGUGGUGUCCCAGACUCGCCCAAUUAAAGGAUUUCACCCCAAA
Vidua chalybeata is the source of this 156-nucleotide long non-coding RNA. RefSeq lists it as uncharacterized. Lineage: Eukaryota; Metazoa; Chordata; Aves; Passeriformes; Viduidae. The record is from RefSeq and is a predicted model, not a curated record. The transcript has 2 exons.